CGUACCUCCUACGGGAGGCAGCAGUGGGGAAUAUUGCACAAUGGGCGCAAGCCUGAUGCAGCCAUGCCGCGUGUAUGAAGAAGGCCUUCGGGUUGUAAAGUACUUUCAGCGGGGAGGAAGGCGAUAAGGUUAAUAACCUUGUCGAUUGACGUUACCCGCAGAAGAAGCACCGGCUAACUCCGUGCCAGCAGCCGCGGUAAUACGGAGGGUGCAAGCGUUAAUCGGAAUUACUGGGCGUAAAGCGCACGCAGGCGGUCUGUCAAGUCGGAUGUGAAAUCCCCGGGCUCAACCUGGGAACUGCAUUCGAAACUGGCAGGCUAGAGUCUUGUAGAGGGGGGUAGAAUUCCAGGUGUAGCGGUGAAAUGCGUAGAGAUCUGGAGGAAUACCGGUGGCGAAGGCGGCCCCCUGGACAAAGACUGACGCUCAGGUGCGAAAGCGUGGGGAGCAAACAGGAUUAGAAACCCUUGUAGUCCCAG
Molecule: ribosomal RNA, 476 nt
Filed under: uncultured organism
Description: partial 16S ribosomal RNA
Rfam family: Bacterial small subunit ribosomal RNA
Source: RNAcentral